UCUGACCGAGGAGGAGGUAAGACUUCUUCUUCUGCGCCAGAAACGCGCGCCUGUAGCUGCUGAUGUCCGGGUCCUCAAGUGAUGGUGACAGCCCUGUCCUGUCCCCCUCCAGUGGCAUGAGGAGAUGAUCAUCCCUGGAUGACCCCACCUGAUCCCCUGGGAGCCCUGGGCCAUUUCCCUCUCAUGAUCAAUAAACCCCUUCAGCAAAGCUA
Harpia harpyja (harpy eagle) is the source of this 212-nucleotide long non-coding RNA. RefSeq lists it as uncharacterized. NCBI's taxonomy places the organism in Eukaryota, Metazoa, Chordata, Aves, Accipitriformes, Accipitridae. The record is from RefSeq and is a predicted model, not a curated record. The transcript is spliced from 2 exons.